Molecule: non-coding RNA, 79 nt
Filed under: Musa acuminata subsp. malaccensis (wild Malaysian banana)
Lineage: Eukaryota; Viridiplantae; Streptophyta; Magnoliopsida; Zingiberales; Musaceae
Description: tRNA
Rfam family: tRNA
About the family: Transfer RNA (tRNA) molecules are approximately 80 nucleotides in length. Their secondary structure includes four short double-helical elements and three loops (D, anti-codon, and T loops). Further hydrogen bonds mediate the characteristic L-shaped molecular structure. tRNAs have two regions of fundamental functional importance: the anti-codon, which is responsible for specific mRNA codon recognition, and the 3' end, to which the tRNAs corresponding amino acid is attached (by aminoacyl-tRNA synthetases). tRNAs cope with the degeneracy of the genetic code in two manners: having more than one tRNA (with a specific anti-codon) for a particular amino acid; and 'wobble' base-pairing, i.e. permitting non-standard base-pairing at the 3rd anti-codon position.
Source: Rfam by way of RNAcentral
GCAUCCAUGGCUCUGAAUGGUAAAAGCGCCCAACAAGGAGAAAUGGGCUAAUUCGUAGGUUCGAUUCCUACUGGAUGCG